AAGUCGUAACAAGGUUUCCGUAGGUGAACCUGCGGAAGGAUCAUUAAUGAAUUGCAAGGAUGCUCUUUUUAGAGGUCCGACCCAAUCUCAUCCUUUCACCCUGUGCACAAACUACUUUUUACACCAUUUUAAACACAUAAAGUUAAUGAAUGUCAAUAGUCUCUUAAUUGAGCAUAAAGUUAUUAAAACUUUCGGCAACGGAUCUCUUGGCUCCC
Molecule: unclassified non-coding RNA, 215 nt
Filed under: fungal sp.
Lineage: Eukaryota; Fungi
Description: partial internal transcribed spacer region
Rfam family: Eukaryotic small subunit ribosomal RNA (bases 1-46)
Source: RNAcentral